UCAGUGUCGUAGCUAACCCGGUAAGCGCACCGCCUGGGWAGUACGGCCGCAAGGUUGAAACUCAAAGGAASRGACGGGGWCCCGCACAAGCGGUGGAGCAUGUGGUUUAAUUCGAAGCAACGCGCGAACCUUACCAGCCCUUGACAUGGGCAGACCGRSCCAGAGAUGGGGGCUUUUCCCGCAAGGGGCCUGAUGCACAGGUGCUGCAAGGCUGUCGUCAGCUCGUGUCGUGAGAUGUUGGGUUAAGUCCCGCAACGAGCGCAACCCUCGCCUUUAGUUGCCAGCAWGUUUUGGUGGCAACUCUAGAGGAACUGCCGGURAAAAGCCGGAGGCCGGGGAUGCAUCAAGACUUCAUGCCCCUCGCGGCCYGGGCUACACACGUGCUGACAACGGCGGUGACAAUCGGAAGCUGCCUGGCGAUGUCGAGCUGAUGCUAAAACACCGUCUUAGUUCGGACUUCAGCCUGCAAAACGGCUGCGUGAAACUGGCACCACCACCUGCGGCUGAUCAACACCUCCUUAGUGAAUACCCCCCAAGCCUUGUACACACCGCCCGUCACACCAUGGGGGGUUGGUUAUACCUUAAGCAGGUUGCWAACCCGCAAGGAAGGUAGCCUGCCACGGWRAA
RNAcentral lists this ribosomal RNA (627 nucleotides) under Roseomonas sp. RNAcentral's name for it is "bacterial SSU rRNA". It matches the Rfam family "Bacterial small subunit ribosomal RNA", at positions 840 to 1466 of the family's 1533-position model. Lineage: Bacteria; Pseudomonadati; Pseudomonadota; Alphaproteobacteria; Acetobacterales; Roseomonadaceae. The record is from RNAcentral.